AAUUAUUUUAGAAAAUUGGAAUCAAUGUUAAAUCCAAGUGAAAUUAAAUCAAACCAGAAUUGAAGUAAGCAGCUAACGGAGAAAGAGGAGCGGAACGCAGACUCACUUCUCACCAUUCUCACUAGCUCUUAGGUUAUUUCUGAGGAGGAAAUUGUCUAAUAUGUGGUGGAUGGCAAUUGUUCUAUUAGCUUUUGGAGCAACUACAAGCCAGGAAUUAGAAGGGGACUAUCUGUCCAAUUGUUGAAACUAGCAUUUUCCUGUCCAUGUGCUUUUGUUUCAAUUCUUGGUGUCCAAUUGUUGAAACUAGCAUUUUCCUGGUUA
Hevea brasiliensis (rubber tree) is the source of this 321-nucleotide long non-coding RNA. RefSeq lists it as uncharacterized. The record is from RefSeq and is a predicted model, not a curated record. Lineage: Eukaryota; Viridiplantae; Streptophyta; Magnoliopsida; Malpighiales; Euphorbiaceae. The transcript is spliced from 2 exons.